GUGCCAGCAGCCGCGGUAAUACGUAGGUGGCAAGCGUUAUCCGGAAUUAUUGGGCGUAAAGCGCGCGUAGGCGGUUUUUUAAGUCUGAUGUGAAAGCCCACGGCUCAACCGUGGAGGGUCAUUGGAAACUGGAAAACUUGAGUGCAGAAGAGGAAAGUGGAAUUCCAUGUGUAGCGGUGAAAUGCGCAGAGAUAUGGAGGAACACCAGUGGCGAAGGCGACUUUCUGGUCUGUAACUGACGCUGAUGUGCGAAAGCGUGG
Molecule: ribosomal RNA, 260 nt
Filed under: uncultured Staphylococcus sp.
Lineage: Bacteria; Bacillati; Bacillota; Bacilli; Caryophanales; Staphylococcaceae
Description: partial 16S ribosomal RNA
Rfam family: Bacterial small subunit ribosomal RNA
Source: RNAcentral